AGAAGACCUCCGAUAAAUCAAGCCUGAAGGGGCGAACGCAGGUUGUAAAAAAGCGGAGAGACGUAUUGACACGUCACCCCGC
Molecule: small RNA, 82 nt
Filed under: Pseudomonas massiliensis
Lineage: Bacteria; Pseudomonadati; Pseudomonadota; Gammaproteobacteria; Pseudomonadales; Pseudomonadaceae
Description: Pseudomonas sRNA P31
Rfam family: Pseudomonas sRNA P31
Source: RNAcentral